This 465-nucleotide ribosomal RNA is filed under the name Vreelandella stevensii. RNAcentral describes it as "partial 16S ribosomal RNA". It matches the Rfam family "Bacterial small subunit ribosomal RNA", at positions 338 to 795 of the family's 1533-position model. Lineage: Bacteria; Pseudomonadati; Pseudomonadota; Gammaproteobacteria; Oceanospirillales; Halomonadaceae. The record is from RNAcentral.
CCUACGGCGUGCAGCAGUGGGGAAUAUUGGACAAUGGGCGAAAGCCUGAUCCAGCCAUGCCGCGUGUGUGAAGAAGGCCUUCGGGUUGUAAAGCACUUUCAGUGGGGAAGAAAGCCUUGGGGCUAAUACCCUCGAGGAAGGACAUCACCCACAGAAGAAGCACCGGCUAACUCCGUGCCAGCAGCCGCGGUAAUACGGAGGGUGCGAGCGUUAAUCGGAAUUACUGGGCGUAAAGCGCGCGUAGGCGGUCUGAUAAGCCGGUUGUGAAAGCCCCGGGCUCAACCUGGGAACGGCAUCCGGAACUGUCAGGCUAGAGUGCAGGAGAGGAAGGUAGAAUUCCCGGUGUAGCGGUGAAAUGCGUAGAGAUCGGGAGGAAUACCAGUGGCGAAGGCGGCCUUCUGGACUGACACUGACGCUGAGGUGCGAAAGCGUGGGUAGCAAACAGGAUUAGAUACCCUAGUAGUC